This 529-nucleotide long non-coding RNA is filed under the name Amborella trichopoda. RNAcentral describes it as "long non-coding RNA (ATRI_LNC001674)". Lineage: Eukaryota; Viridiplantae; Streptophyta; Magnoliopsida; Amborellales; Amborellaceae. The record is from RNAcentral.
AAGUAUAUCAACAUACAUGGACUACAAUAAAGCAUACAAUUAGUAACAUACGAUCUAAAAAUAAAAUGACAGACGACGUUAUUGUUCUUCUUGGUCACGCUGGUGCCAUUGAUUGAAUUCGUUUGACAAUUCAUUGAUUCGAUCUAAAAACGAAUCAUCGAUAUUAGCAGGCGUCUGACUAUACCCAAAUCCCUGAGUGUUAGUGUUUUGUUGUGUUCCCAAUCCAAAAUCCCCGAAGCUUGUCCAUCCUUCAUGCUCACCUACACUGUCGUGCUCAUCCCUACACUGUUGCUGUUGGGACUCGAUAUGUGAAUAAUAUGGCUGGGAUAGGGUGGCCUCAGAAUCAUCGUCUCUCUCAUUUUCUCUUAGACCCUCUUCCCACGCUCCCUCACUGGUGCAAUAUCACCGUCAUCUUCGACAAAUUGUGGAUACGUUGGCUGGCUGCUUCCUCUUUCAUGCUGCUCAUCACCUUCUUCAAGAUCUUCCUCACCGAUAGCCUCAAGGAACGCUCUCUUGUGCAAUACUGGCU